This 424-nucleotide ribosomal RNA is filed under the name uncultured prokaryote. RNAcentral describes it as "bacterial SSU rRNA". It matches the Rfam family "Bacterial small subunit ribosomal RNA", at positions 355 to 796 of the family's 1533-position model. The record is from RNAcentral.
UGGGGAAUCUUGGACAAUGGGCGCAAGCCUGAUCCAGCCAUGCCGCGUGAGUGAUGAAGGCCCUAGGGUUGUAAAGCUCUUUCAGUGGUGAAGAUAAUGACAUUAGCCACAGAAGAAGCCCCGGCUAACUUCGUGCCAGCAGCCGCGGUAAUACGAAGGGGGCUAGCGUUGUUCGGAAUUACUGGGCGUAAAGCGCGCGUAGGCGGACCAGUCAGUCAGGGGUGAAAGCCCGGCGCUCAACGCCGGAACUGCCUUUGAUACUGCUGGUCUUGAGACCGGGAGAGGAGAGUGGAAUUCCCAGUGUAGAGGUGAAAUUCGUAGAUAUUGGGAAGAACACCCGUGGCGAAGGCGGCUCUCUGGCCCGGUUCUGACGCUCAGGUGCGAAAGCGUGGGGAGCAAACAGGAUUAGAUACCCCCGUAGUCC